GUCCUGUUCCACCUUCUGAAGUGUCUGGGGUGUCGCUGUUGCCUGAAGGGAAUCUGGGAUCACUAUGGGAUGGAAAAGUAAACACGUUAAUCUAAUGAUAUCAACAUCAUAUGGAGUCUAGAGAACAUGCCAAAUGAGUAUCCCAAGGAGAAGCAGAUGUUUUUCACAUGGAGAACUGAUGGCGGCGGGACAUCCGAGGGAAAGGAUUUGACAGGAAGAAAGAAGCACAAAACGGUAGAGACAUCAAGCAAGACUUGGCUGAGAGGUAACAGAAAUCCAUGGGUGACUUUUAAAUCUGUCAGGCUACAUACUGAUGCUCCUGCCUUUAACAGCAGAACACCAAGGACUACAGAGAGAGUUGAUGAGCACCUAGCAAACGGGUCAGAAUAUAAAAGGAAAGGAACAAGAAAAAGGAACCACCGGGAUACUCUUCAGAGAUAAUGGCUUAGCAAGAAAUAUCCUUAAGGUUAAUAUGAUUUGGAUUCAAAAGGACCUACUUUAAGGGAUCAGUGAACUAAGCGGUCUGUCCUUGAGAUCUAGUUUACCUGCAUGGCAGAUAGGGUCCACAGGGUUUAGUCAAGAGGAUUGGAGUCCAAAUUCAGCCUCAGGCACUAGUUGUAUGAUCCUGGGCAAGUCACUUCAUUCCAAUUGCUUCAAAAAAAAAAAUCUACAUACAGCCCACAGGUACCAAGUAAUCAGCCUUGCCUCUAGCAUUCUAUCUUCUCCAUGCUCCUGGCUGCUAGUAUUAGAAAACUGAAGAAAUGGGUGAGAAGUGAAGAAAUCUGCAAAAUUACAAAACACGGUGUUAAGGCACAACCCAAAAAGAUCUCAGCUUUAUUAUUAAAAAUACAAUACACCACACGAUCAAAUAAAUCACUUAACUUCUGUUUGCCUCAGUUUCCACAAUUGUAAAAUGGGAAUUAUAGCUCAAACAGGAUAAUAU
Molecule: long non-coding RNA, 943 nt
Organism: Antechinus flavipes (yellow-footed antechinus)
Lineage: Eukaryota; Metazoa; Chordata; Mammalia; Dasyuromorphia; Dasyuridae
Exons: 3
Source: RefSeq, a predicted model, not a curated record